UAGGGAAUCUUCGGCAAUGGACGAAAGUCUGACCGAGCAACGCCGCGUGAGUGAAGAAGGUUUUCGGAUCGUAAAACUCUGUUGUUAGAGAAGAACAAGGACGUUAGUAACUGAACGUCCCCUGACGGUAUCUAACCAGAAAGCCACGGCUAACUACGUGCCAGCAGCCGCGGUAAUACGUAGGUGGCAAGCGUUGUCCGGAUUUAUUGGGCGUAAAGCGAGCGCAGGCGGUUUCUUAAGUCUGAUGUGAAAGCCCCCGGCUCAACCGGGGAGGGUCAUUGGAAACUGGGAGACUUGAGUGCAGAAGAGGAGAGUGGAAUUCCAUGUGUAGCGGUGAAAUGCGUAGAUAUAUGGAGGAACACCAGUGGCGAAGGCGGCUCUCUAGUCUGUAACUGACGCUGAGGCUCGAAAGCGUGGGGAGCAAACAGG
This 429-nucleotide ribosomal RNA is filed under the name Gemmatimonadota bacterium. RNAcentral describes it as "Gemmatimonadetes bacterium partial 16S ribosomal RNA". It matches the Rfam family "Bacterial small subunit ribosomal RNA", at positions 355 to 776 of the family's 1533-position model. Lineage: Bacteria; Pseudomonadati; Gemmatimonadota. The record is from RNAcentral.